GUUUUAGAUAGAGGUGCGGUAACUAAGAGUACUAUUGAAGAGUGAAGACGUAGACGCAAUAGGAAAGGAGUUCUCGCCGAAGCCUAUCAUCGAUACUUUAAGGUGAUAGAGCUGGUGUUAUGUAAAAUAUACUUAACACUGUCACAAAAUAUUUUGUGGUGAGCUAUCAUUUAA
Molecule: non-coding RNA, 174 nt
Organism: Turicibacter sanguinis PC909
Lineage: Bacteria; Bacillati; Bacillota; Erysipelotrichia; Erysipelotrichales; Turicibacteraceae
Source: Rfam